Molecule: ribosomal RNA, 273 nt
Filed under: uncultured bacterium
Lineage: Bacteria
Description: partial 16S ribosomal RNA
Rfam family: Bacterial small subunit ribosomal RNA
Source: RNAcentral
AUACGGAGGGUGCAAGCGUUACUCGGAAUCACUGGGCGUAAAGCGCGCGCAGGCGGCUAUUUAAGUUGGAUGUGAAAGCCUACGGCUCAACCGUAGAACUGCAUCCAAAACUAUUUAGCUAGAGUGUGGGAGAGGAAGAUGGAAUUAGUUGUGUAGGGGUAAAAUCCGUAGAGAUAACUAGGAAUACCAAAAGCGAAGGCAAUCUUCUGGAACACUACUGACGCUGAGGCGCGAAAGCGUGGGGAGCAAACGGGAUUAGAAACCCCAGAGUCC